This is a long non-coding RNA of Bubalus bubalis (water buffalo), 966 nucleotides long. RefSeq lists it as uncharacterized. The record is from RefSeq and is a predicted model, not a curated record. NCBI's taxonomy places the organism in Eukaryota, Metazoa, Chordata, Mammalia, Artiodactyla, Bovidae. The transcript is spliced from 3 exons.
GUGAGACAUAAAGAAGAGAAAAAUGAGCCAGAUGAGGGGUCUGGUCUGUUGAGUGAAAUUUCCUGACCCACUCAUCCUCAUCAUGCCUGAGGCUGAGGCCGUCAUGGGGCUGUUCUUGCAAACGUACUCAGUGGACAAUUGUGGCUUUCCCUGCAGCUGCAGACUCUGCGUUCCAAGGCCCCAACUCAACAGAUCUGCUCACAGGGUGUUCCUGCCCUCUUCCCCUUGCUGACCUUUCUGCUGGGGCCCUGCCUCUGCUGCGCUGCAUCAAAUCGACAUGCUCUCAAGAAACCAGGCCAACUCUGCUCUCAGCCCCGUGGGAGGCACAGAUACAGGCGAUGGGCCCUGAAUGGCCAGUGGCAGCUUACCCUCAACCCAGAGGGACACUGGAUGGAGGGGAUCAGGCACCAGGGGGCUCACCGACUGCCACAGAAGUUUUGCAGAGCAAACACAGAAAGCAGAGCGUAAAGAAAAAAGAAAAGAAAAAAGUGGAGCGAUCCGAAGCCAGAGUGGGCGUCAUGUAAGAGGCUGUGGACUCGCAGCCAGUCGCAGCCUAGGUACAAUGUGCGAUGAGAAGUGUCCCAGAUUUCCCAAGCAGAGCUCCAGUCUACUUUGAAGUGUUGACAACACAUGAAAUUAAAAGCAUCACAAUGUGAAUUAUCACGUUGUUUUUUCCACUUUGAUAGCCUCUCCAAAGCAUUUUAUACUGAUGAAUCAAUACAAAUGUCUCUUUAUGAGGACAUCAGGAACCAAAAAAGAAUUUUUUUUUCCUUGAGAGAAACCAGAAGAAUGAUUCGAGCUCUGGCUCACGUAAUAGCCCUAGGUAACAUGGUAGGUUGAGUCUCUCCUUUAAUAGUGGCCACGGAGGCGACAGAGGUCCACUGGCUUGGAUCACACCAUCAGCUCCUGGAUGAACGUCCUGCCUGCUGCUGGGUCCGCACCAUGAGAUGAGACAACUCAGUCCCA